UUUAAAACCACAUCUGCCAUUAGUAGACAAUUUUAGUGGCCUUUUCUCAAUCAGGAUGUUGAAUCAUAUAGGAAGGCUUGUGUCAUCUGUACUGUGUCUGAAGGGCCUUUUGCAACCUCUUCCUGUGCCAGGGAUAGCAUGGUCACAUCUGGUUAUCGAUUUUAUAGUCGAUUUACGUCCUUCAAAUGCUCAUAGUACCAUAUCACUGUUGUAGACAAUUUCUCUAAGAUGGUACACUUGAUUCCUCUCUUUAAGUUGGCCACAUCUGAUGCUUUGGCCAAGGUCUUUAUUAAAGAGGUUUACAGAUUCCAUGGUUUUCCUUCUGAAAGAGUGUCUGAUAGAGGUACUCAG
Non-coding RNA from Pelobates cultripes (western spadefoot toad), 351 nucleotides. The record is from the annotation of a GenBank genome assembly. Lineage: Eukaryota; Metazoa; Chordata; Amphibia; Anura; Pelobatidae.